GAUGAACGCUGGCGGCGUGCUUAACACAUGCAAGUCGAACGAUGAAGCCCAGCUUGCUGGGUGGAUUAGUGGCGAACGGGUGAGUAACACGUGAGUAACCUGCCCUUGACUCUGGGAUAAGCCUGGGAACUGGGUCUAAUACUGGAUAUGACUUCUCAUCGCAUGGUGGGGGGUGGAAAGAUUUAUUGGUCUUGGAUGGACUCGCGGCCUAUCAGCUUGUUGGUGAGGUAAUGGCUCACCAAGGCGACGACGGGUAGCCGGCCUGAGAGGGUGACCGGCCACACUGGGACUGAGACACGGCCCAGACUCCUACGGGAGGCAGCAGUGGGGAAUAUUGCACAAUGGGCGCAAGCCUGAUGCAGCGACGCCGCGUGAGGGAUGACGGCCUUCGGGUUGUAAACCUCUUUCAGUAGGGAAGAAGCGAGAGUGACGGUACCUGCAGAAGAAGCGCCGGCUAACUACGUG
This 465-nucleotide ribosomal RNA is filed under the name uncultured bacterium. RNAcentral describes it as "partial 16S ribosomal RNA". It matches the Rfam family "Bacterial small subunit ribosomal RNA", at positions 28 to 507 of the family's 1533-position model. The record is from RNAcentral.